This 213-nucleotide unclassified non-coding RNA is filed under the name plant metagenome. Its description in RNAcentral is "partial contains small subunit ribosomal RNA, internal transcribed spacer 1, and 5.8S ribosomal RNA". The record is from RNAcentral.
UUUCCGUAGGUGAACCUGCGGAAGGAUCAUUCAUAAUAAGUGUCUUAUGGCACUUUUUUAAAUCCAUACCCACCUUGUGUGCAAUGUCAGGGUUGAUUUUUCUCUCGAGAGGAUCAACCCCAAACAUCAACUAUAUCUCAACUCUUUGUCUGAAAAAUAUUAUGAAUAAAACAAUUCAAAAUACAACUUUCAACAACGGAUCUCUUGGCUCUC